RNAcentral lists this ribosomal RNA (229 nucleotides) under uncultured bacterium. RNAcentral describes it as "partial 16S ribosomal RNA". It matches the Rfam family "Bacterial small subunit ribosomal RNA", at positions 15 to 239 of the family's 1533-position model. The record is from RNAcentral.
GAUCAUGGCUCAGAUUGAACGCUGGCGGCAGGCCUAACACAUGCAAGUCGAGCGGUAGCACAGAGAGCUUGCUCUCGGGUGACGAGCGGCGGACGGGUGAGUAAUGUCUGGGAAACUGCCUGAUGGAGGGGGAUAACUACUGGAAACGGUAGCUAAUACCGCAUAAUGUCGCAAGACCAAAGUAGGGGACCGUUCGGGUCCGUCAUGCCAUCAGAUGUGCCACGAUGGG